CCUACGGGAGACAGCAGUGAGGAAUAUUGGUCAAUGGACGAGAGUCUGAACCAGCCAAGUAGCGUGAAGGAUGACUGCCCUAUGGGUUGUAAACUUCUUUUAUAGGGGAAUAAAAUGUUCCACGUGUGGGAUGUUGUAUGUACCAUAUGAAUAAGGAUCGGCUAACUCCGUGCCAGCAGCCGCGGUAAUACGGAGGAUCCGAGCGUUAUCCGGAUUGAUUGGGGUUAAAGGGAGCGUAGGGGGAUUGUUAAGUCAGUUGUGAAAGUUUGCGGCUCAACCGGAAAAUUGCAGUUGAAACUGGCAGUCUUGUGUCCAGUAGCGUUCGGCGGCAUUCGUGGUGUAGCGGU
This 347-nucleotide ribosomal RNA is filed under the name uncultured bacterium. Its description in RNAcentral is "partial 16S ribosomal RNA". It matches the Rfam family "Bacterial small subunit ribosomal RNA", at positions 338 to 682 of the family's 1533-position model. The record is from RNAcentral.